UAGGGAAUCUUCGGCAAUGGACGAAAGUCUGACCGAGCAACGCCGCGUGAGUGAAGAAGGUUUUCGGAUCGUAAAACUCUGUUGUUAGAGAAGAACAAGGACGUUAGUAACUGAACGUCCCCUGACGGUAUCUAACCAGAAAGCCACGGCUAACUACGUGCCAGCAGCCGCGGUAAUACGUAGGUGGCAAGCGUUGUCCGGAUUUAUUGGGCGUAAAGCGAGCGCAGGCGGUUUCUUAAGUCUGAUGUGAAAGCCCCCGGCUCAACCGGGGAGGGUCAUUGGAAACUGGGAGACUUGAGUGCAGAAGAGGAGAGUGGAAUUCCAUGUGUAGCGGGGAAAUGCGUGGAUAUAUGGAGGAACACCAGUGGCGAAGGCGGCUCUCUGGUCUGUAACUGACGCUGAGGCUCGAAAGCGUGGGGAGCAAACAGG
This 429-nucleotide ribosomal RNA is filed under the name Gemmatimonadota bacterium. RNAcentral's name for it is "Gemmatimonadetes bacterium partial 16S ribosomal RNA". It matches the Rfam family "Bacterial small subunit ribosomal RNA", at positions 355 to 776 of the family's 1533-position model. The record is from RNAcentral. Lineage: Bacteria; Pseudomonadati; Gemmatimonadota.